UAGUAAAAAUUUUAUCCAUUUGUAUUAUUAAAAUUGGCGUGGUUAAUGGAAUAACCAAACAGUGACAUAUGUCAUGCUACGUGUAUCUCAUGCUGAUGUAUAGGGAUCAGUUUUUAAUAGUAGAAAAUAAUGAAAUUCUUAA
Molecule: microRNA precursor, 142 nt
Filed under: Gossypium hirsutum (cotton)
Lineage: Eukaryota; Viridiplantae; Streptophyta; Magnoliopsida; Malvales; Malvaceae
Description: MIR7502 microRNA precursor family
Rfam family: MIR7502 microRNA precursor family
Source: Rfam by way of RNAcentral